UUUACCUACAGCGAGAAAGUCACCCAGUGGUCGUCUGCAGCAUCUGCCAACGGAAGCAUUAGCCUUGGCUCACAUGGCUCAGACCUCCCGUGGGCUUCUGUCAUUGCAGGAUGACCACCCGGAGCAUAUGUACUGAGCUACAGCGUGUGUCACACAUGUGGCCUCGUCCUCAUCAAUCGUUCCCCAUAUAGGGGCCACCGUCACUGUCCUAUUUUAUGCUCCAUCCAGAGGCUCAGAAGAGGCGAGUGGCUACCCCAAGGUCACAUAGCUGAUCAGUUGUGCUACUGGGAUCCCAAGUCAGGUUGUCUUGAGUCCAGAACCCACCCCUCCCUGCCUCUCCAAGGCCAGGCCCCCAUGACUCCUGCUG
This 367-nucleotide long non-coding RNA is filed under the name Heterocephalus glaber (naked mole-rat). Its description in RNAcentral is "lncRNA (ENSHGLG00100049872.1)". The record is from RNAcentral. Lineage: Eukaryota; Metazoa; Chordata; Mammalia; Rodentia; Bathyergidae.